ACCUCUGCAAUAGGCGAAAGCCUGACAGGGUUACUCUGAGUGAUUUCCGCUAAGGGGAUCUUUUGGCACCUCUAAAAAUGGUGCAGAAUAAGGGGUGGGCAAGUCUGGUGUCAGCCGCCGCGGUAAUACCAGCACCCCGAGUGGUCGGGACGAUUAUUGGGCCUAAAGCAUCCGUAGCCGGUUCUGCAAGUCCUCCGUUAAAUCCAGCCGCUCAACGGAUGGGCCGCGGAGGAUACUAUAGGACUAGGAGGCGGGAGAGGCAAGCGGUACUCAGUGGGUAGGGGUAAAAUCCUUUGAUCCAUUGAAGACCACCAGUGGCGAAGGCGGCUUGCCAGAACGCGCUCGACGGUGAGGGAUGAAAGCUGGGGGAGCAAACCGGAUUAGAUACCCGGGUAGUCCCAGCUGUAAACGAUGCAGACUCGGUGAUGGGCUAGCCUUGUGCCAGCCCAGUGCCGCAGGGAAGCCGUUAAGUCUGCCGCCUGGGGAGUACGGUCGCAAGACUGAAACUUAA
Molecule: ribosomal RNA, 511 nt
Filed under: uncultured crenarchaeote
Lineage: Archaea; Thermoproteati; Thermoproteota
Description: bacterial SSU rRNA
Rfam family: Archaeal small subunit ribosomal RNA
Source: RNAcentral